UGCCUUCCUGCCGCCUCCUCUGCUCCCCGGGGACCGAGGGCGAUGGACGCCGGCUGCCUGCGGGCCCGCAGCCUGCUGCUCUUCCUCGGUUACCUAUUGCAGGCAGCCCUGGGCACAACAGUGAUCCCAUUAUGUGGGCCUGGUGAAAUGGAGAACUGCACCACAGCGCUCAUCCAGACAGAGAACAGCCCACGUGUGGCCCAAGUGGGGAUAACGAGAUGCAAGCCUGAAAUGAAGGACUACUGCUUCCAUGGGCAGUGCGUGUACAUCGUGGACUUGGAUGAGCACUACUGCAGGUGUGACGUGGGGUUCUCUGGAGUGCGGUGUGUGCACUCGGAGCUGGUCCGGCAGCCCCUCAGCAAGGAGUACGUGGCACUGACGGUUAUCGUGGUUCUGCUCUUCGUCGCCGCCAUCUCCCUUGCAAGCUACUACAUCUAUAGGAGACAGACCUACUUACCCACAGGAAGACUUUAAGGCAGAUGUGGAAUUUUCAGUGAAGAGCUGAGAAAGGAGACUGCCCGGGAGUUAUCUCAGACCUGGAAAUGAGCACAGACAGAGCCCAGGAGCUAGAGAUUUAAAGGAGGAGAGAUUUAAAACAAACUUUAGAAGGUACCGAAACAAGAGGAGACAAACAAAUGCCGGUGAAUACAAGGAAGUUGGUGCCCUAUAGGAGAAAUGGUGACUUCCUGCAGUGUUCCGUUCAUCUGGAUGGACUCAGUGGCUUCCCAUCUAUUUAAAUAUUAUUUUUAUUAAUAAUAUUUACUAUAUUUAUAACCUUAAAAAAAUUUCAAUUGUUUGGUGAUUCAAUCUGUAUAGGUCAAGCAUUUUAUUUGCAGUGUUUUAUUUUUUUAUUAAAUAAUAUUUCCUAAAGGAAACCCCACCUAAGUGGUUCUGUGGGAUAGAGAUAUAUUUUUAUAAAAACUCGUCUUCUUGCUCUGGAGAGAAGAAUUUUAUAUUUAUUCUUGUGAAUAUACUCAAAGCAAUUGUAUUCCUUGAAAUAAAAGUUUAGACAAAGUCAAAA
This is an RNA transcript of Manacus vitellinus (golden-collared manakin), 1021 nucleotides long. It is a transcript of the gene named epiregulin, with no coding region annotated. NCBI's taxonomy places the organism in Eukaryota, Metazoa, Chordata, Aves, Passeriformes, Pipridae. The record is from RefSeq and is a predicted model, not a curated record. The transcript is spliced from 6 exons.